Molecule: ribosomal RNA, 424 nt
Filed under: uncultured prokaryote
Description: bacterial SSU rRNA
Rfam family: Bacterial small subunit ribosomal RNA
Source: RNAcentral
UGGGGAAUAUUGGACAAUGGGCGAAAGCCUGAUCCAGCAAUGCCGCGUGAGUGAUGAAGGCCUUAGGGUUGUAAAGCUCUUUUACCAGGGAUGAUAAUGACAGUACCUGGAGAAUAAGCUCCGGCUAACUCCGUGCCAGCAGCCGCGGUAAUACGGAGGGUGCGAGCGUUAAUCGGAAUUACUGGGCGUAAAGCGCAUGCAGGUGGUUUGUUAAGUCAGAUGUGAAAGCCCGGGGCUCAACCUCGGAAUAGCAUUUGAAACUGGCAGACUAGAGUACUGUAGAGGGGGGUAGAAUUUCAGGUGUAGCGGUGAAAUGCGUAGAGAUCUGAAGGAAUACCGGUGGCGAAGGCGGCCCCCUGGACAGAUACUGACACUCAGAUGCGAAAGCGUGGGGAGCAAACAGGAUUAGAUACCCCGGUAGUCC